This 500-nucleotide ribosomal RNA is filed under the name Serratia ficaria. Its description in RNAcentral is "bacterial SSU rRNA". It matches the Rfam family "Bacterial small subunit ribosomal RNA", at positions 865 to 1365 of the family's 1533-position model. Lineage: Bacteria; Pseudomonadati; Pseudomonadota; Gammaproteobacteria; Enterobacterales; Yersiniaceae. The record is from RNAcentral.
UCGACCGCCUGGGGAGUACGGCCGCAAGGUUAAAACUCAAAUGAAUUGACGGGGGCCCGCACAAGCGGUGGAGCAUGUGGUUUAAUUCGAUGCAACGCGAAGAACCUUACCUACUCUUGACAUCCAGAGAACUUUCCAGAGAUGGAUUGGUGCCUUCGGGAACUCUGAGACAGGUGCUGCAUGGCUGUCGUCAGCUCGUGUUGUGAAAUGUUGGGUUAAGUCCCGCAACGAGCGCAACCCUUAUCCUUUGUUGCCAGCGAUUCGGUCGGGAACUCAAAGGAGACUGCCGGUGAUAAACCGGAGGAAGGUGGGGAUGACGUCAAGUCAUCAUGGCCCUUACGAGUAGGGCUACACACGUGCUACAAUGGCGUAUACAAAGAGAAGCGAACUCGCGAGAGCAAGCGGACCUCAUAAAGUACGUCGUAGUCCGGAUUGGAGUCUGCAACUCGACUCCAUGAAGUCGGAAUCGCUAGUAAUCGUAGAUCAGAAUGCUACGGUGA